CGGCCGAAAAUAUUUGUCAUCAAAAUGGAUAAAAAUAGAUGUAUCUAUAACUAAUAUAUGUCUAGAUACAUCUUUUUUUGAUCAUUUUGAUGACAAGUAUUUCCGGACG
Molecule: non-coding RNA, 109 nt
Organism: Triticum aestivum (bread wheat)
Lineage: Eukaryota; Viridiplantae; Streptophyta; Magnoliopsida; Poales; Poaceae
Source: Rfam